GCUCUGUAGACACGCGCAAAUAUCAAUUACUGUACUCAACAAUUGAUUUUUUUUUUUGUUCCUGGUUAAUAAGUGUUAUUUCCUUAUUGCUUCUACCACAGCUGUAUAGAAAAUGGCUAUUAUUCCCUACAAGUGUUUCUUUUGUGACCAGGACAUGGGUAUUUUCAAAAGUACCUUUAUUUUUAAUGAGAAAACGGGUGAAUUGUUCACAUAAAUUUAAAAGGAAAAAAAAAAACUAGGGAAAUUUCAAAAAAUUUUAUUUUCCAGAACAUUUCCAGAUCUUUUUUCCUGAACAUUUCCAGAAUUCUAGAAAUUCCCAGUAAUAUAAACUGUAGUAUAAACACAUUCUCCUUAAGCCCACAAGUUUCGUGUAGUCCCAGCUACCUAAAUGGAAACAUUUCAGCAUUUUUUUAUUAGCUGGCAUCAAGAGGCUGUAAGCAUCCAGCAGACGCAUCUUGCUACAGUAUGCCUGUGGUGAAUUUAUCAAGACAAGAGCGAAAAAGUACUCCAAGGACGCAUCUGUUAAGAUGUGUGAGGCCUACAAGGCAUAUUUAUGCAUGCUAAUCGGGGAUCAAGACAAUCCGUGGUCACCUCUUUUCACCUGUGAGCACUGCAGAAAAAAAACUGGAAGGAUGAUACAGAGGGGAAAAGAGAGCCACGAAGUUCGCUAUCCCAAGAAUUUGGCAGGAACCCGCUGACCACUCAGGCAACUGCUGUUUCUGCAUGGUGGACCCUUCCAAAUGUCGGAGUGGCAAAAAAAUGCAACUGUUAUCACAUAAUCUGGACCUUCCUUCAUCCAUCAGCACUUUGCCACACUGCUCUGAGCUUCCCAUACCCACUCCUCCGAACAGAGAUCUGCCGUCUUCAAAAGUGAGCAGCAAGUCAGAGAGCGAGGAAGGUAUUGCAGAUCCAGAAUACAAUUUCACAGGUGGAGCUGAGGAGAGAAACCCAUACUACCACCACCAAAAAGACCUUAAUGACUUGAUCAGAGAUCUUUGCCUCACCAAGUCCAAUGCUGAACUUUUGACAUCUAGGACAUCUAGGCUCAAACUAUGGAAUUUGUUUGAUGAAAAUGUGCAAGUCGCAGGUCAUAGCAAGUAUCAACUAGCUUUUUGCCUCUUUUUCACCAAUCAAGAUGGGCUCUGAAUUAGAGAUCGACCGAUAUUGAUUUUUUAUUUCGGUAGCGAUUCCGAUAGUUGCGUGUUUGUGUGCCCGAUAACCGAUUCAGAACCAAUAUUUAUUUAUUGUUUUACUUCUGUUUUUGACACAAUGAUAACACCACUGAACUGAACAAACCGUUUUAUUUACAACAAUUUUGUCAAUUUCACUUCCUCCUUGCAUACAAAAAAAAACAUAACUCUUAUUUAUACAUCAAUAAAUAGAGGGAGCUGAAAGAGUGCAAACAAUAAAGUGCACUGUUACUAAAGUGUCUUUUUUUUUUUUAAUAAAAGUUUUGAUGAGGUAAACAGAU
Long non-coding RNA from Ictalurus punctatus (channel catfish), 1471 nucleotides. RefSeq lists it as uncharacterized. NCBI's taxonomy places the organism in Eukaryota, Metazoa, Chordata, Actinopteri, Siluriformes, Ictaluridae. The transcript has 2 exons. The record is from RefSeq and is a predicted model, not a curated record.